RNAcentral lists this long non-coding RNA (285 nucleotides) under Physcomitrium patens. Its description in RNAcentral is "long non-coding RNA (PPAT_LNC000592)". The record is from RNAcentral. Lineage: Eukaryota; Viridiplantae; Streptophyta; Bryopsida; Funariales; Funariaceae.
CAUUACGUAGUCUAAUUUUAGAAUUGUGCUUGAAACAAAACCAUGAGGACAAAGAAGAAGAAUAAGAAAGGAAGAGAGAGUGGAACAUAGAUGAUAGUAGAUACUUCAAGAGGGGAAAAAGAUGGAGGGAGUGUUUGACACAAUCCCCCAACCACAAGAACCCAGCCUCUGUUUAGGCAUAUGUUAUUAUUAUUGCCCUAAUAGCCACCACCCAAAAGCACUGCUCUGCCAAACUGUGCACCAAGUUGAAGGAUGGAAGAGGAAGUGUGCAGAACAAUAGCAGUU